This 432-nucleotide ribosomal RNA is filed under the name uncultured organism. RNAcentral describes it as "bacterial SSU rRNA". It matches the Rfam family "Bacterial small subunit ribosomal RNA", at positions 8 to 488 of the family's 1533-position model. The record is from RNAcentral.
AGAGUUUGAUCCUGGCUCAGAACGAACGCUGGCGGCAGGCCUAACACAUGCAAGUCGAACGCCCCGCAAGGGGAGUGGCAGACGGGUGAGUAACGCGUGGGAACCUACCUUACGGUCGGGAAUAGCUCAGGGAAACUUGGGGUAAUACCGGAUACGCCCUUACGGGGAAAGAUUUAUCGCCGUUAGAUGGGCCCGCGUAGGAUUAGCUAGUUGGUGAGGUAAUGGCUCACCAAGGCGACGAUCCUUAGCUGGUCUGAGAGGAUGAUCAGCCACACUGGGACUGAGACACGGCCCAGACUCCUACGGGAGGCAGCAGUGGGGAAUAUUGGACAAUGGGCGCAAGCCUGAUCCAGCCAUGCCGCGUGAGUGACGAAGGCCUUAGGGUUGUAAAGCUCUUUUGGCGGGGAAGAUAAUGACGGUACCCGCAGAAUA